UACAGAGGGUGCGAGCGUUAAUCGGAAUUACUGGGCGUAAAGCGCGCGCAGGUGGCUCGCUAAGACAGAUGUGAAAGCCCCGGGCUCAACCUGGGAACUGCGUUUGUGACUGGCGGGCUAGAGUGCGGAAGAGGGAGGUGGAAUUCCACGUGUAGCAGUGAAAUGCGUAGAGAUGUGGAGGAACACCGAUGGCGAAGGCAGCCUCCUGGUCUAGCACUGACGCUCAUGCACGAAAGCGUGGGGAGCAAACAGG
RNAcentral lists this ribosomal RNA (253 nucleotides) under uncultured bacterium. Its description in RNAcentral is "partial 16S ribosomal RNA". It matches the Rfam family "Bacterial small subunit ribosomal RNA", at positions 524 to 776 of the family's 1533-position model. The record is from RNAcentral.